ACGAUGCCCGCCUACUGGCGCCCUAGCAACCGGGUUGCGAACCAUGUUCUAUCCCGACUAAGUGGCCGUCCUGGGAGUUAUAGUGCCACUAGCCGGCCUCGGCUGUUCCCUGUCCGAGGCUCUUGUCAUUUCCGCUUAUUUCCUCCACGGGUGCCGAUUUCAUGUGUGUGUUCCCGAGUGCCUGAGCCGGCUCCCGAAAUGAGUACUCGUGGUUUCCGCGUGGGAACCAACCUCGAGCGCCAGUGGCCCGCCCUCUCCGGGCUGAGGUGGCUGCUGAGGCUGGGGCUGCUCCUGAGGCUUCAGGGCCGCCCGCUGCACGGCUUUCUACCUUCCCAGGUUAGCCGCGGUCAACUUCUGCCAGGCGGAGCGAGAAAUCGCAUUUUGUCAGGAUUAUCAUUGGUGGUGGCGAUUUUUAACCAGAAGCUUUAUAGCUGUUUAUCUUUUUACGUAUGCAGUUCAUUACUUCUCUGCCAAACUUCAAAUCACAGAAAUUGCGAGCUCUAUUUUGUACUUUGGGUACAUGAUGAUCAUUGUGUUGAUUUUCUUCCUUUUCAUAGAGACAGUUGGAUUUUUUUCCUGUUUCUGGUUAAUUGCUAAAAUCUACAGUGUGCUGAAGGUGGAGUAAAGUAUUUCCCCAAAGGAUUCCAAGCACAUCUCCCUUGCCCUUGAAUAUCUGUAUAUCUAUAUGAACAUCAAUUGAGAUAUAUAUGUGUGUGCCCCUAAUUACAUAAUUUUAAGCAUAUAUAUAAAAAUGUAAAAUCUCAUUGUCUGGCCUCAGUUUGUAUGACACAAAAUACUGAUUGUAUGGAAGAAAACAGAUUGGGAAACAGAUUUAUUCUAUAUCAUAUUUUCCUGAAAAGCUACCUUAAAAAGAUUUAAAUUAAAGCAAUUAGAGCAAGGGAGGCACAUUUCUUUAAAAAAUUAAAGUUGAGUACCAUACUGGUUUUUCAGAUGAAAUUUUCUUUUCCUUUUUCUCCUUCAUAUUGCUCAGAGCAUCUAAUUCCAUCAGAACUAUUGUCAAAUAAAUUUUAUGUAAAAUGUGUAUUUUUCUAAUGGGAGUUGAUUAUACAAACUGUAUUACACCUUUGUAUCUGAGUGAUCAUUUAAAAAUGCAUAUUGGUUUAGCACAUAGAGUUUAUGAAAUGCCAGAUAAUGCUCUUAUUCCUCAGUGAAAUCUGCACAUUUCUAGUUGUUGGUGGUCUAUUUCUGUUUGCUGUUCCUUGGAGGGGGGCUGAGAAUGUUCAAGUUUGACUUAGCUGUGUUUAAGUAAUAAAUCUUUGGAGUCAA
RNAcentral lists this long non-coding RNA (1287 nucleotides) under Homo sapiens (human). RNAcentral's name for it is "novel transcript". The record is from RNAcentral. Lineage: Eukaryota; Metazoa; Chordata; Mammalia; Primates; Hominidae.